GACGAACGCUGGCGGCGUGCUUAACACAUGCAAGUCGAACGGAAAGGCCCUGCUUUUGUGGGGUGCUCGAGUGGCGCACGGGUGAGUAGCCCGUGAGUAACCUGCCCUUGACUUUGGGAUAACUUCAGGAAACUGGGGCUAAUACCGGAUAGGAGCUCCUGCUGCAUGGUGGGGGUUGGAAAGUUUCGGCGGUUGGGGAUGGACUCGCGGCUUAUCAGCUUGAUGGUGGGGUAGUGGCUUACCAAGGCUUUGACGGGUAGCCGGCCUGAGAGGGUGACCGGCCACGUUGGGACUGAGAUACGGCCCAGACGCCUACGGGAGGCAGCAGUGGGGAAUAUUGCACAAUGGGCGGAAGCCUGAGGCAGCAACGCCGCGUGCGGGAUGACGGCCUUCGGGUUGUAAACCGCUUUCGCCUGUGACGAAGCGUGAGUGACGGUAAUGGGUAAAGAAGCACCGGCUAACUACGUG
RNAcentral lists this ribosomal RNA (468 nucleotides) under uncultured bacterium. RNAcentral describes it as "partial 16S ribosomal RNA". It matches the Rfam family "Bacterial small subunit ribosomal RNA", at positions 28 to 507 of the family's 1533-position model. The record is from RNAcentral.